This 194-nucleotide non-coding RNA is filed under the name Amedibacillus dolichus. RNAcentral describes it as "Eubacterium dolichum T-box sequence". It matches the Rfam family "T-box leader". From Rfam's summary of the family: Uncharged tRNA acts as the effector for transcription antitermination of genes in the T-box leader family. The record is from RNAcentral. Lineage: Bacteria; Bacillati; Bacillota; Erysipelotrichia; Erysipelotrichales; Erysipelotrichaceae.
AAAAUAGCGAUGAUAAAGAUAUAGUAGAAAGCUUGUGCUUUUUAAGAGAGCCGGUGGUUGCUGAAAACCGGUAAAGUGCAGCUUAUCGAAUUGGAACUUUGGAGCUUUUCCUUUGGAAACGGCGCUCACCGUUACGAGUAGUGAUUUCUGUUACAGAAAUAAGUCGGGUGGUACCACGCUUAUGCGUCCCAACA